Long non-coding RNA from Gallus gallus (chicken), 1859 nucleotides. The record is from Ensembl. Lineage: Eukaryota; Metazoa; Chordata; Aves; Galliformes; Phasianidae.
AAGGAAGCCGUGAUCCGACUCUGACUCUCACUGGAAUGGGGUGAAGGAAGCACACGUUGAAGUUUUGGUGCAAUUAAUUACCAAGAAUGGUGUAUGGCUGAUAGGCCAUGUCAUCAGUUGCAUUUGUCUGCUGUCUUCUGGAAGGACACAAAUGAACCUCUGCAUCAGAGGGCUCUAAUUGGAUACAACUGCGGGUUUUGUUCGGCUUCAAGGUCUGUAUGUUGCAGCUCAGGAAGGCUGCCAAGAUCCCCCAGUUGUUAACAAGAAUGUCAUUCCUUGUAGAUGCGAGACUCCCUUCAGCCUGUGUUUGCUGGAGAAUCUGCAGAUUCAAAGCAUCCCACCAUGAAGACAAUCAGCCUCCAUGGGCUGAACUUCAGAGCACUCAGGCGAGAAGGCCACUCCACCUCUUUCCAUCCCUGGGAGUCUGCACUGCUGAGCCAGAUACCUGCAGCCAGGCAGACUGGAUGCCGUUGUUUCAGUGCUGCCCCAGCUUGCAGCUCCAGGAAGCAGGGACACCAGGGUGAAAGUUAGCUUCUGUACGCAGUUCUGCUUUGGAAAUGAGACCGUCUAUGGGCAGUGGCAGCAUCUCAUGCAUGUGGAUAUAUACCACUGUCCCAACAUCUUUGUCCACCUGGAAGCAGAAUCCAUGGAUUUGGAGAGUCAGAUUCAGAACUCCAGGCUUAGCAACAGAAGCUUUCCUUGAGCAUAAGCUCAUGGAUUAUCAGGCAGAUUUCAGAAUCAAAUUACCAUAACAAGGAAAAAAAAAAAAAGAUAUAGAAUUUGGCACCCGAAUUUAAGUUUGAUUUUAGCUGGGGGCAGAAAUACGUGACAAAAAGCCUUGUGAGUCAUUUAAUAAACCAAGCAUGAGUUUCACAAGCCCCUGCGGUUUCCAUGCUUAUUCUUUGAGACUUUCAUCUUGGCCUGGAGCAGCACUCCUUUGUGACUUUGCAGGGCCCCAGAGCCUGCUCGAGUGCUUAUCCACUCAGAAAUAAAACAAACAUUCUCCCAUCUACAUUAAUUGAAUGUUCAGCUCUCAUUCCUAGCACUUGGCUGUCUACGCUUUAAUGUUUCUCGAGUGCUCUUGACUUUAUCACAGCAUUUGCCCUGUUGAGCUGCUGGUGAGCUCCAAGGGGAACAAAAUCUGCUAAUCCUAUAGACGUGAGUUGAAUGGGAACGCAUCUGGCUACAAAGCAAGGAAGUGCUUUCCUGUGGUGAGGAAGUGCUCAGCUCAGGGCCCAUUGUCUGGCUUUGCAAAGAUGGGCACAGAAAUCUCUUUGGUCGGUUCUUUGCCUCUGUGCUCCAUCCCCUGAUGCUGCACCCUGCCCUCUCUGCUUAGCAGACCCUCUGCAGCAGUCGACAGAGUGCAGACUGCUCUCAUCUCUCCCACCUUAUCUGCCAUUCCUGUGUAGGUUUUACUUCAAUCCUCCCUUCCUGCUUUUCCCCUCAACCCUUUCUCUCCUCCUCCCUCUUUCUGUGGAAACAAAUGUACAGUAGGUGUCUCUUGAACUUGCCUGAACUCCUUGUCCCAAGCACCUUCCUGACUAAUCCUUUCCAGAUGUCCAGGAACUUUUAUGUUUAGCAGCUCUGCUCGAGUUCCUCAUUCAUUCUCAGAUGGAGCAAACCUUCUAUUUCCUAAAAUUAUUUGAAAAAUAGGGCUGAUCUUGGCCUUCUGUGAAACAACCUCAAAGUAUGGCAUUAUGAGCACCACUGCAGCCCCCUGCACCCAAACUGGAGCACGGUAAGCAUUCGUAAGUAGCACUGUGAGCUUGGUUUUCCACAUAUGAGUGCUCCAUGGCUUUCUAUGAAGUUCUGAAAGCACUCACUACUGCACUUGCACCCAACCAAGGGGCAGGGCUGUC